AUUUAAUCUUUAAUAAAAUAAUUUGUUAUUUCCUUACACAGAUCAAAUUGGUAGCAAAGCUCCAAAUAUUGGGAGCCCUAUUUCCACUGGAAUUGGUGAAAGGAACUGUUUCAUUUUAUUAGUAAAAGACCUAGAAAAGAACAGUCACUAAGACAAAAGCUAGGUAAGCAGGAAGAAGAGGCUAGAAAAGGCCAGGCAAGUGGCUCUCCAUCUAUAGGAAGAUUGUGUCCAGGGUUUGGUAAUCUAAGUUCUAGUCAACUCAUAUUAGCCUGUGCUUUAUUACAAGUAGUCACUCCUCGUUUCUAUUUAACAGUACAUCAAUCUUAAGUCACGGUCAUAUCUCGCCCCCCAAUAUAGCAACCAACACCAUGUCCAAAUUUCAUCAUAUUAAUAGCAGCCAAAUCCUCUGUUCGUUACUGUGGUUAGUAGUGGGUUAGAAAGGUGCACCUCACAUCACAUUGUAAUAACAACACUGCCAGUUACACCGUUCAACUUGUGUAGAACACGUACCUCUGGCAACGCUCACUCGCCAUUGCCACUGAUAGGGUUGUCAAGACCUCUUAAACCCAUUCCAAGUGAAGGUAACACACAAGCAGGAGGAUUAUCAAUUCAAACUAAACUCUUCAUCAGCAAAUAGAUGAAAGGUCAAAGAGGACAGAACAGAUAUACUUUCUUUCAGUUUCAUUUUACGGUCUGCUAUUUAGACUCAACAAAAUGCUCAAUUUAUUAUGAAUAACUAGAGCUUACCUGGCCAAGCCUUCUUCGUCAGAAUUGCCAAACAGCAAGGAGAGGGAGUAAGCCAGAGGAAGGGAGAAGAGGCUUAC
This 824-nucleotide small RNA is filed under the name Vigna angularis var. angularis. RNAcentral's name for it is "Non-protein coding transcript". Lineage: Eukaryota; Viridiplantae; Streptophyta; Magnoliopsida; Fabales; Fabaceae. The record is from RNAcentral.